GACGAACGCUGGCGGCGUGCUUAACACAUGCAAGUCGAACGGAAAGGCCCUGCUUUUGUGGGGUGCUCGAGUGGCGAACGGGUGAGUAACACGUGAGUAACCUGCCCUUGACUUUGGGAUAACUUCAGGAAACUGGGGCUAAUACCGGAUAGGAGCUCCUGCUGCAUGGUGGGGGUUGGAAAGUUUCGGCGGUUGGGGAUGGACUCGCGGCUUAUCAGCUUGUUGGUGGGGUAGUGGCUUACCAAGGCCUUGACGGGUAGCCGGCCUGAGAGGGUGACCGGCCACAUUGGGACUGAGAUACGGCCCAGCCUCCUACGGGAGGCAGCGGUGGGGAAUAUUGCACAAUGGGCGGGAGCCUGAUGCAGCAACGCCGCGUGCGGGAUGACGGCCUUCGGGUUGUGAACCGCUUUCGCCUGUGACGAAGCGUGAGUGACGGUAAUGGGUAAAGAAGCACCGGCUAACUACGUG
This 468-nucleotide ribosomal RNA is filed under the name uncultured bacterium. Its description in RNAcentral is "partial 16S ribosomal RNA". It matches the Rfam family "Bacterial small subunit ribosomal RNA", at positions 28 to 507 of the family's 1533-position model. The record is from RNAcentral.